UACAGAGGGUGCAAGCGUUAAUCGGAAUUACUGGGCGUAAAGCGUGCGUAGACGGUUAUGUAAGUCAGGUGUGAAAGCCCCGGGCUCAACUGGGGAGGGUCACGCGAUACUGCUCGACUUGAAGGCAGGAGAGGGAAGUGGAAUUCCCGGUGUAGUGGUGAAAUGCGUAGAUAUCGGGAGGAACACCAGUGGCGAAGGCGACUUCCUGGCCUGUUCUUGACGCUGAGGCGCGAAAGCUAGGGUAGCAAACGGG
This 253-nucleotide ribosomal RNA is filed under the name uncultured bacterium. RNAcentral describes it as "partial 16S ribosomal RNA". It matches the Rfam family "Bacterial small subunit ribosomal RNA", at positions 524 to 776 of the family's 1533-position model. The record is from RNAcentral.